RNAcentral lists this ribosomal RNA (481 nucleotides) under uncultured bacterium. Its description in RNAcentral is "bacterial SSU rRNA". It matches the Rfam family "Bacterial small subunit ribosomal RNA", at positions 33 to 507 of the family's 1533-position model. The record is from RNAcentral.
GACGACGCUGGCGGCGUGCCUAAUACAUGCAAGUCGAGCGGGGUUGUCGGAGUGGAGUCCUUCGGGAUGAAGCACCGUCAACCUAGCGGCGGACGGGUGAGUAACGCGUGGGUAACCUGCCCUAAAGCCCGGGAUAACACCGGGAAACUGGUGCUAACACCGGAUACCUUCCGAAGAGGGCAUCCUUUUUGGAAGAAAGGUUAACGCUUUAGGAUGGGCCCGCGUCCCAUUAGCUAGUUGGUGAGGUAACGGCUCACCAAGGCAGUGAUGGGUAGCCGGCCUGAGAGGGUGGACGGCCACACUGGGACUGAGACACGGCCCAGACUCCUACGGGAGGCAGCAGUAGGGAAUAUUGCGCAAUGGGCGAAAGCCUGACGCAGCGACGCCGCGUGGGUGAUGAAGGCCUUCGGGUUGUAAAACCCUGUCCUUGGGGAAGAAGGAAGUGACGGUACCCAAGGAGGAAGCCCCGGCUAACUACGUG